Ochotona princeps (American pika) is the source of this 1230-nucleotide long non-coding RNA. RefSeq lists it as uncharacterized. Lineage: Eukaryota; Metazoa; Chordata; Mammalia; Lagomorpha; Ochotonidae. The transcript is spliced from 4 exons. The record is from RefSeq and is a predicted model, not a curated record.
AAUUCCCAAUCUGGAAUUCAACGCUGUUUGGAGAAGAAAGCUAGAAAGGAGGAAUGGAGUAGGGAGGCCCAAAGAGAGAGAAGCAGAGGAAACAGAGGAGAGCACACAGGAAGGUAGGGAGGCAGGGAGCAAGGAAGAGGGACAGGGAGGAGGGAGAAGCACUGUGGGAGUUCGGCAUGCAGGCAAAGUAGAAGAGCAGUCCAGACAGGAAAUACAAAGUCCAGCGAGGUGGACAAGACCGGCCUCGUCAUGUGUAGGGUCCAGCACAAAGCAGAAAUACAAGAAUUUCAAGAGAGCUACCAUCGCCAGACAUUGAACUGCUUGAGACAAUGCUGCUGAGCUCUGGCAGUCGGGUGGCGCUCAUCUCUGACGGUCCACACGUGGGUGCGAUGACAUCAUCAACAUGCGUGCCAGAGACGACACCAGCUUUGCUCACCAUGGAAGCCAGUUUUCCCAGAAGAGAACAGAGGCCGCCUAAGUGGGUUCUUCCAAAUUCAAUGUUGAUAUUAAGAAACGCUCACUGUGGGGCACAAGUUCUUUGAAAUGUUGCUUGGGGAAUGCUCGCUGAAGCUCUCAGCCAGCCCCAAACAAAGCUGCAGUGUGUAGAGGGCUGGACCCAUGCCUGCUAACUGAGGACCGAGACGCAGUUCCACCCAGGAGGUUGUUCCGGCAUCCAUUCCAGGAUUCCUCCAUGGUCUGACGGGUGAGUUGCGAUUGCCUCUGUCUGUGCUCAGGCACAUCUAAAGGACACCUGUACCUGGACAGUUGAUUGAGGAACAUUCUGGAUGUUAUGAUGUGGGGUGUGGCGGCAGUGAGCAUGAGCGUAUGAUCCCUGAUUUCUCUACAGAGAAACCGUAACUGGGCACUCAGAGGAGCUGAGGCACAGCGGACAGACAGUAAAACAGGAAACCCUUCAAGCAACUGCAAUGAAAACACUGGGUUCUUCCAUUUAGGAUGCUCUUCAAACAACAAAGACCACAAUCAAACUGGCUGAGACAGACACUGUGCAUUGAUUAACCCAAUUCCUAAUCCUUUUCUUCCUUGGCUGCCUUGUUAUAAAGGUCAGAAAAUCCAAAUUCCUGCCAUCUCAACGUCACUUGCCACUAGCGGAGGUCACUUGAUGGUCUAGCCAAUGAGUCUGGAAGCAACAACCCUUGCUUGUUUUAGUAAGAGGCUCUAACUUGGCUGAUGUUGAACAUAUUCCCAAUGUUCAAUGGCCAGUGUGAUUGA